UUCGGUCAUAUUUCAACGCAGUGCCGAUC
RNAcentral lists this small RNA (29 nucleotides) under Bombyx mori (domestic silkworm). Its description in RNAcentral is "ovarian small RNA-4045". The record is from RNAcentral. Lineage: Eukaryota; Metazoa; Arthropoda; Insecta; Lepidoptera; Bombycidae.